CGAACGCUGGCGGCGUGGAUAAGACAUGCAAGUCGAACGGGAGAAUUGCUAGCUUGCUAAUAAUUCUCUAGUGGCGCACGGGUGAGUAACACGUGAGUAACCUGCCUCUUAGUGGGGGAUAGCCCUGGGAAACCGGGAUUAAUACCGCAUACGAUUGAAAGAUCAAAGCAGCAAUGCGCUAGGAGAUGGGCUCGCGGCCUAUUAGUUAGUUGGUGAGGUAACGGCUCACCAAGGCGAUGACGGGUAGCCGGUCUGAGAGGAUGUCCGGCCACACUGGAACUGAGACACGGUCCAGACACCUACGGGUGGCAGCAGUCGAGAAUCAUUCACAAUGGGGGCAACCCUGAUGGUGCGACGCCGCGUGGGGGAAUGAAGGUCUUCGGAUUGUAAACCCCUGUCAUGUGGGAGCAAAUUAAAAAGAUAGUACCACAAGAGGAAGAGACGGCUAACUCUGUGCCAGCAGCCGCGGUAAUACAGAGGUCUCAAGCGUUGUUCGGAAUCACUGGGCGUAAAGCGUGCGUAGGCUGUUUCGUAAGUCGUGUGUGAAAGGCAGGGGCUCAACCCCUGGAUUGCACAUGAUACUGCGAGACUAGAGUAAUGGAGGGGGAACCGGAAUUCUCGGUGUAGCAGUGAAAUGCGUAGAUAUCGAGAGGAACACUCGUGGCGAAGGCGGGUUCCUGGACAUUAACUGACGCUGAGGCACGAAGGCCAGGGGAGCGAAAGGGAUUAGAUACCCCUGUAGUCCUGGCAGUAAACGGUGCACGCUUGGUGUGCGGGGAAUCGACCCCCUGCGUGCCGGAGCUAACGCGUUAAGCGUGCCGCCUGGGGAGUACGGUCGCAAGAUUAAAACUCAAAGAAAUUGACGGGGACCCGCACAAGCGGUGGAGUAUGUGGCUUAAUUCGAUGCAACGCGAAGAACCUUACCUGGGCUUGACAUGUAAUGAACAACAUGUGAAAGCAUGCGACUCUUCGGAGGCGUUACACAGGUGCUGCAUGGCCGUCGUCAGCUCGUGUCGUGAGAUGUUUGGUUAAGUCCAGCAACGAGCGCAACCCCUGUUGCCAGUUACCAUCGAGUAAUGUCGGGGACUCUGGCGAGACUGCCCAGAUCAACUGGGAGGAAGGUGGGGACGACGUCAGGUCAGUAUGGCCCUUAUGCCCAGGGCUGCACACGUACUACAAUGCCCAGUACAGAGGGGGCCGAAGCCGCGAGGCGGAGGAAAUCCUGAAAACUGGGCCCAGUUCGGACUGUAGGCUGCAACCCGCCUACACGAAGCCGGAAUCGCUAGUAAUGGCGCAUCAGCUACGGCGCCGUGAAUACGUUCCCGGGUCUUGUACACACCGCCCGUCACAUCAUGGAAGCCGGUCGCACCCGAAGUAUCUGAAGCCAACCGCAAGGAGGCAGGGUCCUAAGGUGAGACUGGUAACUGGGAUGA
This 1433-nucleotide ribosomal RNA is filed under the name uncultured organism. RNAcentral describes it as "SSU rRNA". It matches the Rfam family "Bacterial small subunit ribosomal RNA". The record is from RNAcentral.